Brassica rapa (field mustard) is the source of this 10773-nucleotide long non-coding RNA. RefSeq lists it as uncharacterized. The record is from RefSeq and is a predicted model, not a curated record. NCBI's taxonomy places the organism in Eukaryota, Viridiplantae, Streptophyta, Magnoliopsida, Brassicales, Brassicaceae.
UUAAAUAUUAAAAAAUUCAAACAUGUUUAUUAAUAUUAUUUUUAAAUUAUUUAUCGUUGUUUAAAGAAUAAAUUUAUGAUAAUUUUAAAAUAAUUUACAGAAUGUUAUAAAUUAUUAAUAAAAUUAAAUUUACUUUAUAUUGAAUAUUUGUUUAUUGUUAAAUAUUUUUUAGAAUUUCUUUUUGAUUUAUUUUUUCCAUCGACACUACUAAAAAGGAAAGCCCUCUAAAUACUUACCUUAUUUUGUAAUUUCGAUAUAUCAUUUAAUUCAUCGAUCCCACUAUAAUAGGAAAGUACCAUUGAAUACUAAUUGCAAGGGAAAACAUAAUUUAAUGACCAAUUAACAUCACUUUCCAAAUGACUUACAUAAUAUUAUUAAUAACUAUUUAUGGUAACAAAUUGUCGAAAGUAUGGUAUAUAAAUCCAUUUUAUUAAUUCAAAUAAAUAUUUUGGAUUCCAAAUGACUUACAUAAUAUUAUUAAUAACUAUUUAUGGUAACUAAUUGUCGAAAGUAUGGUAUAUAAAGUCAUUUUAUCAAUUCAAGUAAAUAUUUUGGUUUAUUAUUUUAUGUAGUCUAUAGAUAUAUUAGAAUAUAAAGUCAUUUUAUCAAAUCAAAUAAUUUAUUUUAAUUCAUCGAUCCUCUAUAAAAGAAAAGUAACAUUGAAUACUGAUUGAAAAGGAAAAAAUAAUUUAAUCCCUCUAUUAACAUUACUUGCGCAACAAUAUUAGUUAAUACAUGUAAUAAUUAGUUUCCUUAUUACAAAUGGAAAGAAUUCUCUUGAUUUUGUUGAUUGAUUUUUUAGAAUUUCUUUUUCGAUUUAUUUUAAUCAUCGACACUACUAAAAAUGAAAUCACUUUAAUACUUAACUUUUGCGUUUUCUCGAUUCAAAGAACAUCUUUUUGCGAUCAUUUCUCUGUUUAAUUCAUUAAAUACUCACUAAAUAUUUUAGAUGUUAGAGAAACGAAAUUAAUUGACAAGAUAUUUUCUCUCCUAAAAUCAUGCAUUUAAAACUUAAUAUUUAUGGUGAGACUUGUCAACCAAAAUUCUGGUGCAAUCUAUUCACGAGAUGUUUUCCUUUAGCUUUAUUAACAAGAUAUUCCAAAAAUAAUAUUACCUUAUAAGUAUAAGAUUUAUUGAGAAUUUAUUAAAGAAUAUUCUACUUCUUAGCUUAUCAUGCAAGCUAAAUCAAUGAGAAACGUCUACCAAUUUACUAUAAAUAAGACAUUCACAGUAGAAGAAACGAAAUAAUUGAACUUUGUAUUUUGAACUUUUAAUGUUAAUAAUGUUCUGAACUUUUUUUUCUUCUUAUUUUAGAACAUUAAGCUUUUAUAUUUCAUGAGAGCUGAUUUUUCUUUUGGUUUAUAUGGAGAUACCCUAUUAUGACGAUUUCUCCACUGAAGCUAUAUAUGAUUUGAUUGUACACCUCUUUGAUAUAUCAUUUCGAUAACAUCUUUGUUCCUCAAUCUGGUAAAAAAAUUUUACUCAAUUUGAUAACAUCUCUCAGCUAAAUCAUUUCAAUAGCAUCUUUUUGUGCUGCGAAUAUUUUUCUUUUUUUGAUUUGUAGAUUUAUAUUAUUGUUUAGAAUUAUAAGCUUAUAUAUACACAUAUUUGUUUUUUGGUUUGCUGAUUGUGAUUUUGUUUUAUAUUUUUUCAGAGAUGAUUUGAGAGAAAUGGUCAUAUUUCAGACCUCUAAGAGUUCACCAUUCUGAUCCUGCAAAAGAUGUGCACUUAGAAUGGUAUUUUCUCUACUGUACAUCAAAAUUGGAUAAUCAAUUAUAUUUUUAAAAUAUCUAUAGUAGGAUGGUAUUUUCUCUACUGAAAUAAUAUCUUAUUUCCUAAUCUCAUGCUUUAAUAUUUAAACUUUAAGGACAAGAUUUGUUAAUUAAAUCAUUAGUGUAAACUACUCCCGAGAUAUUCUCCUUUUUAUAUUUAAAAUGUAAUUUUAGUAACAAUAUAUUCCAUAAAUAAUCCUAACUUAUAGGUAGAUACAUUUUUAAAAUUAAUUUGAGAACAUUCUAUUACAUAGCUUAUUGUGAAAGCUAAAUAUUUUAGUAAAGUCUAGCAUUUUACUUAUAUUUUGUGUUUUCUCGAUUCAAAUAACAUCUUUUUGAGAUCAUUUCUCUGUUUAAUUCAUUAAAUACUCACUAAAUAUUUUAGAUGUCAGAGAAACGAAAUUAAUUGACAAGAUAUUUUCUCUCCUAAAAUCAUGCAUUUAAAACUUAAUAUUUAUGGUGAGACUUGUCAACCAAAAUUCUGGUGCAAUCUAUUCACGAGAUGUUCUCAUUUAGCUUUAUUAACAAGAUAUUCCAAAAAUAAUAUUACCUUAUAAGUAUAAGAUUUAUUGAAAAUUUAUUAAAAAAUAUUCUACUUCUUAGCUUAUCAUGUUUUUAUCAAAAGAAAACGUCAGUAGAUCAAAUUAAUUUUUACAUGUUCUUUCAGGCUUGAGUUUAUCAGAAGAUCAAAUUAAGAGUUUAUCUUUGGCGGAGAUUGAAUCAAUCAUGCGUUUGAACGGAAGCUCAUUUACAUUGUUUAAGUUUUGAAACGUGUUAUCAAUAGUAUACUCUUCUAUUGGUUAAGAUGUGGCUUUUGUUAGAUUUUCUAUUAAUUAAUUUUUUUUGUUUUACUUUUGUGGAAUUCACGAUAUUGUAAUGUUGUAAAUCAAUAAUAAAGACAUUUUUAUCACUAUUAAUAGGUGAGAGAGAGAGGGAGGGGGAGAGAGGGAGGGAGAGGGAGGGACGGGGAGAGAGAGAGAGGGAGGGAGAGGGAGGGAGAGAGAGGGAAAGAGAGAGAGAGAGAUUAGUGUUUACGGUAUAUCCAAAAGUUUUGAGUUUAUUGUUUAUGAUUUAUCCGGUAAAGCCAAAGGGUUAGAGUAUACUCAAGGGUUUAAGGUUUACCAAGAGUUUAGAGUUUAAAAAUUAAUGAAUGUAAUUUGUAUAUUUUACAAUAAAAAAUAAAAACUAACAGCAAAGUAGAUUGCAUUAUAUCUUGAAUUAAAUAAUGUUAAGAAGAUUUAUAGUUUUCAACCACAAAUAAUGAAUCAUAACUAUGUGAUUAUUAUACCUAUAAUAUAUAUUAUGAAUAUACAUGUCAUUGUAUGUAAAAAUUAACUAACCAUGUAAAAUUAAACUAAUGAUAAUAUUAAUAUCCGCAUAUGCGAUAAAAUAUCCGCAUAUGCGAUAAAAUAUCCGCAUAUGCGAUAAAAUAUCCGCAUAUGCGAUACAAUAUCCGCAGUCACUCCAUAGAGAGCUGGAUAUUUAAUCGCCGAGUUAAUUGUUUUGAUAAGCUGACAGAGUCUGAUUCGAAAAUCACCGACUGCAAUUCAUAUCUUCUCUCUGCUCAACCAAUUUCUAACAUUAUUUAUUCCAUAUUUAUUACAUAUUUUGAACUUUUUAUUCCAUAUUUUGAAUUUUUUAUGUCCUUAAUUACAUUCUUAAAUGGUUAAAGAGGGUUUCAAUGGGAAUGUAGUGAUAAUAUAAAAUAUGUUACCUCUGAAACUAUACACUAUUUAUUCCAGAUUUUGAAAAUAAAAUAUCUUCUUAAACAUACAAAUUAUUUUGGAACGUUGCAAUUAUACGUACACACAAUAAAUACCUCUUGAUACUGAAGUUACUUUGUUCCAUCUCGUCCAUGUAAAAUAUUGAGUACCAACAUUUUUUUGUACCUGAUGCUUUCUCCCAUGGGCGGUGGUAUUAUGAUAUAAAAUUCGUUACUUAUAAAACUAUGUACUACUUAGUUAAUAAUUUGAAUAUGUUUAUGUCCGCACAGGGUGCGGGCCGGCCACCUAGUAGUCAAUGAAACCAAAAAAAAUUACGUGAAGAUCCGAAGUUUUGUUUAUUGGCAAUGUUAAUUUUCUUUUUUUAUGUUUGUUUGUCCAAAAAAUUCAUGUCAUAGAAAAGUUAACCUAAAAUUAAGAGGACUUUCUUAUAUUGCAUUAUAUUUUCAUGCAUAUUAGAGCUUGAUCUGUGCACCCGUACGGGUGUUUAGUUUUACUUUUUAUAAACAAAUAUUAAUAUAAAUUUUAAAAAUUUAUCUAUAUUAAAUAAUUGUUUAAGAUGACAUUUCAAAAACAUAAUAAUUUUAUAGUUUAUAUUGAAUAAUUAUAUUUUAUUUUUGAGCUGUCGAUUUUAUCACUCAUUUUUAGAAUUUUACCCGAACAUCCGCAUGAAUGUAUUUUCAUUUUUUACGGAUCAGAAUUUUAUACUCUUCAACACUUAUAUUGUGUUAUUUUAUAUAAAAGUAUGCAUAAAAUAAUAUAUUUACAUUUAAAUAUAUUUAUAUUAAUAUAUCAUAUAAAUGAUUCUUUGUAUGUGAUUUCUUAGUUAUUACUAAUGAAUCAUGAAAUUAUAACUAUAUAUCCUUAAAACAUAUUGUGUUAUAAAUUUAGUAAAUAAAUACUUAAAUUGAUUUAGGUGGCUUUAUAGUUGUUUUAUCAUUUUUAUUAAUUAACUAUUAAUAAUAUUAUAUUAAUAAAUCUACAUUGUUUAUACUUAUUCCAAUUAUAUUGGAAUAUCAAGGAUAAAAGAUGAUGAAGAAAUAAUUUUAUAUCAUUGUUAAAUGGUAGAUGAUUUCAUUUAUAGACAAUAUUUAUUAGCUAGCUAGAUUAUAGGAAGUGUUUUGGACCCUAAUUAAUUGAUUAGCUAGCGAGAUUGAUUUUUUAUAUUACUAUUGUUUUUUUUUAGUUGAAGCUCAAAUUAUGAAUUAUAUUAAUUAAACAGAUAAAGACAUAUAAUCUUAAAAGGUAUGUUAAUUAAUAACUCUAGUGGCAUGCCAUUGUAAAUAAGUUGGAAAACUUAGGGAUAUUUUAUAUUUGUACUUAUUUUUUAAUAGAGUAGAUUCAUGUUAAUUUGUAAAACUAUUAUACAAGACUUUUUAUUAUUUGAACCGCAAAAAUAUAAAAUGUUUGUAUUAAUGUUUUUUAUACAACUUAUGUACAUAUAAUUUAUUUUGCUUAAAAUAUCAUUGGUUUUACUUGAUAUGUCACAACAAUCCUUUGAGACUGGACAAUAUAAUUUGUUUCAUGAUAUAUGUCGUAUAAAGGGGAUAUAAUCGUUUCGGUUUGAAUAUGUCCCACAAAAUUGAGACUGAUUCUCCAACUUCAUUCAAAUAGAAAGUUCAUAUAAAACCUCAGUCAAUCCCUUAAUUUAAGCACCUUGAUUUUGUAUAUAUAUAUAUAUAUAUUUAUUUAUUUAUUUAUUUAUUUUUAUGUUUUUUGAAAAAUCACCUUGACUUUGUAAUUAGGAAAUCAUCAUAAAUGGUGAUGGACAAAUUAUGAGUCAGUUUGAAAAUUUUGAAUGGUUAAGUUUAUGGUCAAAUAUCAUGGUUAAUAUAUUGUUUCCUAUUUUGUUUACCUUUCAUAUAAUACUUUCCAAAAUUUAAAUUUGGAAAGGAACAUUCAAAAAAUUUUAUGAUUGAACUAUGGCGAGAAUAUAUUCAUUUCACUAAAAUAAAACACGCAUAAACCUCAUAUCCUGUGACUAUAUAUAUAUAUCAUACUAAGCUAAGAGCUUAGGCAUCACAACGAACAUUGUGUGUUAAACCGCUUAGCUGAAACAGCUCGAUAUAUUACUGUUAGUUUAAUUAUUUUCGUUUAACCCGGAUGGUCUAGUUCAUCUAAAAGCCCGUCAUGUUGCUUUUUAUUGCUCUGUAUAUCAAACGUUACAACAUUGUGUAAUAUGCAUUAUUUGUUACUAUGACUUAUUACCUUUUUAAUAUUUACUAACUAAAAUUUCCAAACUUUUUAAUCAAUUCAUCCCGCGCAAGGCGUGCACCACCUAAUCUGAAACUACAAUAUUCCAAAAAAUAAUAAUCUACAAAUCUAAUAUAUUAAAAGAGGAGUACAAAUUUAAAUUACCCUUUAGUUUUGCAAGUUAUUUACACUUCCAUGUCACUAAGAUAUUAACUAAACCUACAUUUAAGGAUAUUUUGUCUUUUACGGUUUAAUUAAUGCAUUUGUUAAAUUAAUAUAUUUUAAAUUAAAAAAACUUUACAACAUUAAAACUUUACAACCCUAAACCCUAUUAUUCCUCAAUCCCUCAAUUAAUAUACACAUCUUACUGAAUCACGCAAGGUUCCAUUUCUCACCUGUUAGCUUAUACAAAUCGAUUUUCUAUCCUUUAUACACAAACUAAAUCUCAAUAUACAUUAAAUCUACAAUAUUUAUACGUUUAGUUUUGUAUUAAUUCAUACAAACAAUACAAAUACAUGUAUCAUAUAUAUAUAUCCUACUAUAUAAAAAGAGCUAAAUCCUAGCUUCCUAAGCCUUGCCACAUGAACAAAAUAAUCAGAACCAACCAUUAUGCCAUGUCAUUCCGGACUGGACUUUAAAAAAAAAAAAACCAACCAUUAAAAUAUGCGAAGAGUCACGGUUUAACCUGGUUCAACUCCAGUUACAUCAUAAUAAAACAAUGCAUGCAUUGAUUGUUGAUUAUUAGUCUUCUAGCUACCACAUCUUUGCCAUCCUAAAUCAAAAUCAAUUUUUACAACUUUAACUUGCCCCAUACUUAAUAUUCUUAUAGCUGGUGAACAAUUUAAUUUAGGAAAUCGUUAUAUUUCAUGUCAAAAAUGCAUACUGUAUUCAUUGAAAAUUAAAUAACAUAUAUUCUACCAUUAGGAUCAAGAACUCUAAUCUGAAGACUAUAUAUUCAUCCCCUCUCACUCUGAAAAAACCACCACCGCCAACUGUUCAAGAUUUUGUGUAAGUCAAUAUUUGAAAGUCACAAUUUUGUCAAUUUUUUGGCAUAAGUGAUAUGUUUAAGAGUUGGAUAGUUAAGUCCGUAUGCGGUUGGGGACGUGGAGUUUGGCUCACCUUCCACUGUUUAUUUUCAAUUGUUUUAAUAAUAGAUUCAUAUUGAUAAUCUGUGCGAAUAAACGUAUAAGAUUUUAGUUGGUAAAGAUUAAACAUAGACCGACAAUCUUCCGUCUUUAGCUAUUGGUCUCCGCCAAAAAAAUUUGAUUUAAUAUAAUAGUUCCUGCCUGCUAAGCUACUACAAUUGUAGUUCACGUCUAUCGGUCAUGUAAAAUAUUUAGUUUUUUUUGGCUUUAUAAGAUAUUAGUUUGUAAUUAAUCUCAUGGUUCGAUUUUAUCCAUUGAAACCUUUUUCACUAUGUUUUAUUAUCAAACCAUUUCACUUUGCCUAAGAUUUAAAUAUUCUUUCCUUUGUUUAAGGAUUGAUUGUUCCUCAAUACCAUGGUCAAACCAACCGCCAAAGAUCUUCCGCUUAUGGGAGGUAUUUUGAAUUUACAAGUGCAUUUUUGAAUCAAAAACAUUAUUAGUAUUGAUAUAUUAAUUUAAUACUUUAAUCCAAAUCUUUAAUAAAACAAAUAUAAAAUACAAAUUAUGUUUUAUAUAUAUAUAUAUAUAUUUAUAUUUUUGACUAUUUACAUCUUAUUAAAUUUGAAGUGCACAAAAAAAAAGAAAAGUUACAUCUUAUCUGAUAAGAUUCCAAAUAUAUAAAUACAAUGCUACGUUUUGAUUUUUGUUUAUUGCUACGAAACAUUUUAAAAACUUGGGAAAAGGUAAAAAUACAGACGACAUGACCGACCACUCCUUUUCUCCUGGUUUGCAAGAAUCUAAUUGAGUUGCUUAAUAUUUGUUCCAAAUUAAUAUAUAGUCCCAUCAGAACCAUAAAUUAAUAAUCUAUCUCUAUAUAAUUUUAUAUAAGUACUAAAUAAAGAUAUUUUUGUUCAUUUUAUAGUUACAAAACUCUAAUAAAACAAAUAUAAACAUUAUUAGUAAAAUAUGUUUUUUAUUUAAAAAUACAAAUUAUGAAAAAAACCACAAUUAGUUCUUAAUAAAAAAAUCAUGCUCCCAACUGUAUCAACAGAUUCGUCAUUCACCCCUAGAAGACACAUAUAGGAAUAAUUAAAUACUUUGGCAAAAAAAAAACAUUUUUGUGAUGAAGAUUCUUAGAUGAUGAUCGUUUUCUAUACAAACAUGCGGCACCUCUACACCAUUGUUUUAAUCCCAGGAAAACACGUAGAAAUCCAUUAACACAAAUAUUAACAUACUUUAAUUAAAUAUGUAAUCCGCGCGGAGCGCGGACACCGGCUCUAGUAUAUAUAAAAGGAGCUAUUUUUAGAGCUUCUAAGGGGUGCCACUAAAUAUUCCAGACCAAUCGUUUUGCCAUGUCGGUUUUUAGCUUAUGGGCCUCAAAUAAUCCAAACCCAUCAAGAUAACCAAUCAAUUUGCAAAGGUUUUUGGCUUGGCUACAUCUGAUUAAAUGUUCGAACCAAUAAAAAUAGCCAGCUGUCUAGACUAACCUAAAACAUCUUCAUUUCUUCAAUUUUCGUUGCCGAAACCAAGCUCUCAACCUCUCGCCUUUUCCCAUUCUUUCCCCAUCUUCGUCACUUUUCAGAUUCUCAUUUCAGUUGUAACUUUAGCUAUAACUACAUUCCUCACAUCAAAGACAUAUUUUUCACAAAUCACUUCAACUUCCCCUCUCAAACUCUAUAUAUAUAUGCCGAUGUAGUCAUCCUAAACCCUGUCAAAUCUUAAGCAACAAUGGCUUCCUCUCAAGUAUCUUUCUUAUUUCUUUCCCGGAUCUUCAGAAAGAUCUCGACAUCACCAAAUUUGAGAGGAAUAUGACGCACCCAUAAGUUUCCUUGGAUUCUAUAUGCUUCAUUAUUUGUUUUUAACUUCUAUUCCUAGAUUUAAAGCCUCAAGAUUUUAAUCGUUGGUAAGUUUUAGUGAAAGUUUUGUCUUGCUUUUACUACAGUUGGUAAUUGUUGUAAAUGAUGAGGAUAUAGAGAAUGCAUGCUCUUUGUAAUGGUUCAUCGUGGUCAAGAUAAAGACGAGACAUGACUGGAAACAGCUCCAGACGCCAUGACUGGCUCGAGUUCAAGCUUCAAGACACUGCCACAAUUAGCCAAACCACCAAGUUGUUCAGGUUUCUGCUUCUUCUUUCUGUUAUUUCCGACUGCAUAACUAAUCUGCAUUAAUAUACUGCAUAUCGGCUAUGCAUUACUAAACCCUCACUGGUGUUAGUUCAAGUUAUUCAGAGUUCCUUGAAAUUACCGAGGCUAGCAAACAUAUUCAACCAGCAUGCCAGAGACGAAGCUGGUGAAGACAUGGCUACUAAUCAGCCCGCAAUCAGAAAAGUAAUUGGAGGCACAUGAUAAGUACAUAGUCUAUGUAAGUGUCUCGAGAACCAAACCAUCUUUCACAAGUCCUUGGGAGAGGCAUUUAAGAUUUUCAGAAAUAAAGCAGUCGUUGGAAGCGCUUUAAGUGCUGAAUCGCUCGCAACAUUAGGAGCUGAGUGAUCAAGCUAUUAAUAAGGUGGUCGAUUUUUUCUUAUAUAAGUGAUGCUAAGGAUCGUUUUGCAGAGUUUUCCAGGAAACUGGCACGCAGGGGUCUUACUAAACUGCAGUAACUGAUAUGGCUGAGAUCGAGACUUAGCUUAGGUGUGAAGCAAGAGGAUUAUUGCGUCUUACAAUAUAACAACUUAUGUUUUGCGGGUUUUUAUAAAAGAGAUAACUUAAGUGGUAGAGGGUAAACAGAUGAGCAGAAAAGAAAAGUACAUAAAAAAAAUCAUUGCUAUGUAUAACAAAUUGCUAUGUAUAACAAAACCAUUUGUUCAGUAAAUCAACUUAUGAGUUUUUUUGGGAUUGUAUACUCCUGGUCAGUUCCUUAAAAUAGUUGUAUUAUAAAUGUAUAACUGUAGUUUUAGCGCAAGCAAUUUGUAUUAUUCCUACACUUCUAUUUUUGUUUAUGUUUGUGACUGUGUUUCAAAAAGAAAAAAAAAUUAUGUUUGUGACUAUCGUAAGUUAUCAGCUGCUUUAAAACUCACACAGAGAAAACAGAUACAAAGAAAAUUGGAGACAGUGGUUUAAUCUAAAACUUUUUCGCUGGUCAACUUUCAUACAUCUCUCAUAAUACGAUGACAAAGUUGCAAAUUUUAGACCAUUAUAGAAUCCAAAAUCGCAAAGUAAAAUCAUAUUGAUAACAUAAGCCAAACAUAUAUAAAAGUGAAAAUAAAAUAAAAUUCAUAUAUGUUUUAUGGUUACUAAUUUUAUAAACAAUAUAAAAUUUUUAUUUUGUUUUAAAACCAAUUACUUCAGCCCUACCAUAUAUGUUAUUAGUAGGUUCAGAAGAGCAACAUUAGUCAAAUUAGACCACUUAGAUCAAAUAUGAAAACACUAGAAAAUACAAAAGACCAACCAUUCAACCAGAUAAAACAAUAUAUAUAUAUAGGAAAACACAUUCUGUCUUUUAUGCUCUAUUAUUUUACUCUUUAGACAUUUCCCAGUUUAUUAGUUUUAAAUUAUGUAGAACUAUUAAAAAUACAUGUAAAAUAUGAUUGAAUAAAAUUUAUAAAAUCCAAUCCGUACGUAGUGCGGACACAGAACCUAGUAAUAUUAAGAACUAUAAAAUUUAAUGAUAAUCAGUAUACGCAAAUCGAUUUUUUCAAAAUCAUAAUGUUAACUUAAGGACCAGUCAGGUUUAAAUUUCAAAAAUUAAUGUAUAAAUUUCUAACCAAAAAAUGAUACCUACUUAAUUGUGAUAUUAGAUCCUAUUAUAUUUCUAUAUUAAUUUGUAUAAUUAAUGAGGAAUAUUUAUUAUCUAUACUAUACUAAAAGGCAAAUAUAAGCCAUGGAGAGGGAUAGAAAAAUCAACCAAUCAGAGAACCCGAAAUUGCCACGUCAUUUCAUUUAUUUUUUCGUAAAAAAUGAAAAACAAUGCUAAGGAAAGGAUCGAACCUGGGUUAUUAUGACAUUAACAUAGGACAGUUACCACUAAGCCAUUGAAACUUUCUUGAACACAUAUACAAGAAUCACU